GAUGAACGCUGGCGGCGUGCCUAAUACAUGCAAGUCGAACGAACAGGCGAGGCGCUUGCUGCUCUGACGUUAGCGGCAGGCGGGUGAAUCACACGUGUAUACCCUACCUAUCAGACUGGGAUCACUUCGGGAAACCGGCGAUAAUACCGGAUAAUAUAUUGCAGCGCAUGGUUGAAUAGUGAAAGUCGGUUUUGCUGUAUCUUCUAGAUGGAUCCGAGCCGCAUUAGCUAGUUGGGAAGGUAACGGCUUACGAAGGCUACGAUGCGUAAGCGACGGGAGAGGGGGAUCGGCCACCCGGGAGCUGGAACGGGGACCAGACUCCUACGAGAGGCAGCAGAAGGGAACCGGAGGCAAUGGGCGAAAGCCUGACGGAGCAGCGCGGAGUGAGAGAUGAAGGUCUUGGGAGCGUAAAAACCUGUUAUGAGGGAAGAACAAAUGUGGAAGGAACCGUGCACUGCUUGACGGUAAUUAAUCAGAAAGCCACGGCUAACUACGUG
This 497-nucleotide ribosomal RNA is filed under the name uncultured bacterium. Its description in RNAcentral is "partial 16S ribosomal RNA". It matches the Rfam family "Bacterial small subunit ribosomal RNA", at positions 28 to 507 of the family's 1533-position model. The record is from RNAcentral.